GCGGGUGUAGUUCAAUGGUAGAACUUCAGCCUUCCAAGCUGACCGCGAGGGUUCGAUUCCCUCUACCCGCUCCA
Molecule: transfer RNA, 74 nt
Filed under: Clostridia bacterium BRH_c25
Lineage: Bacteria; Bacillati; Bacillota; Clostridia
Description: tRNA-Gly
Rfam family: tRNA
About the family: Transfer RNA (tRNA) molecules are approximately 80 nucleotides in length. Their secondary structure includes four short double-helical elements and three loops (D, anti-codon, and T loops).
Source: RNAcentral